GGGGGGGCUAGAUGGUGGUUUUUACAUCAUAGGGUCAGGAAUACAUGUUUGUGUUCCUGACUCUAUAGUGAUCCUUUAACUGUGUUCUAAUUAUAAUACAAUAUCUGUAGAAGAUGGCGCACUCUUCGACACACCAACUAGAGUGGCCCCAGGCAAGCGGGCAACAUCCAUUAAAGUCAUAUCAACAAAAAAUGAACGUUAUAUGGGUCUUCUUCAAAAAACCUGCCUGAAACCGGCCUUGUGUCUUCCGUGCAUUCCUUUUGGCUCUGGAACUGAACAUCACUCAGCGUUGACUAGUUAUGUGUUCAUAUUGUGUAAAGGUGUCUUGUUAAAUGUUUUUUUCUUUGUUUUUUUAAACAUUUUUAUAGAUAAAUAAAAGCACAAGCAGUAGCUAAGUUUUGUUAAAAGAAAAAUCUUAUGAUUGUUGCUCUUCAAACAGUAAAUAGUAAGCCAUGAAUUAGCAUGUCCCUUUUUGUUUUUUUAUCUUGUACCGAAACAGAUUUAUCCCAAAAUACUGUACAG
Non-coding RNA from Pelobates cultripes (western spadefoot toad), 522 nucleotides. The record is from the annotation of a GenBank genome assembly. NCBI's taxonomy places the organism in Eukaryota, Metazoa, Chordata, Amphibia, Anura, Pelobatidae.